UACGUAGGGGGCAAGCGUUUGUCCGGAUUUAUUGGGGCGUAAAGAGCGUGUAGGCGGCCAGGGUAGGUUCUGCUGUGAAAACUCGAGGCUUAACCUCGAGAUGUCGGCGGAAACCAUCUGGGCUAGGAGUCCGGAAGAGGAGAGCGGGAAUUCCUGGUGUAGCGGUGAAAUGCGCAGAUAUCAGGAGGAACACCCGUGGCGAAGGCGGCUCUCUGGGGACGGUACUGGACGCUGAGACGCGAAAGCGUGGGGGAGCGAACAGG
Molecule: ribosomal RNA, 263 nt
Filed under: uncultured bacterium
Lineage: Bacteria
Description: partial 16S ribosomal RNA
Rfam family: Bacterial small subunit ribosomal RNA
Source: RNAcentral